This 811-nucleotide ribosomal RNA is filed under the name uncultured archaeon. RNAcentral describes it as "bacterial SSU rRNA". It matches the Rfam family "Archaeal small subunit ribosomal RNA", at positions 85 to 879 of the family's 1478-position model. The record is from RNAcentral.
ACGGCUCAGUAACACGUGGCUAACCUGCCCUUGGGACCGGAACACCCCCGGGAAACUGGGGCUAAUUCUCGAUAGGUGAAGAACUCUGGAAUGAGUCUUCGCCAAAAAGACGCUUGCGUUAUGCUCGUAGGUGUCGCCCAAGGAUGGGGCCGCGACCGAUCAGGUUGUUGGUGAGGUAAUGGCUCACCAAGCCUUUUACCGGUGCGGGCCGUGGGAGCGGGAGCCCGGAGAUGGGCACUGAGACAAGGGCCCAGGCCCUACGGGGCGCAGCAGUCGCGAAAACUUUGCAAUAAGCGAAAGCUUGACAGGGCUAUCCCGAGUACCAUCCGCUGAGGAAGGCUUUUACCCAGUCUAGAACGCUGGGGGAAUAAGGAGAGGGCAAGUCUGGUGUCAGCCGCCGCGGUAAUACCAGCUCUCCGAGUGGUGUGGAUGUUUAUUGGGCCUAAAGCAUCCGUAGCUGGCUAAGUUAGUCCCUUGUUAAAUCCACCGAAUUAAUCGUUGGAUUGCGGGGGAUACUGCUUGGCUAGGGGACGAGAGAGGCAGACGGUAUUUCCGGGGUAGGGGUGAAAUCCUAUAAUCCCGGGAAGACCACCAGUGGCGAAGGCUGUCUGCUAGAACGCGCCCGACGGUGAGGGAUGAAAGCUGGGGGAGCGAACCGGAUUAGAUACCCGGGUAGUCCCAGCUGUAAACGAUGCAGGCUAGGUGUUUGGACGGCCACGUGCCGUUCUAGUGCCGCAGGGAAGCUGUUAAGCCUGCCGCCUGGGGAGUACGAUCGCAAGAUUGAAACUUAAAGGAAUUGGCGGGGGAGCAC